CGUGGGGUAACCUGCCCUAUGGAGGGGGGAUAACACAGAGAAAUCUGUGCUAAUACCGCAUAACGUGACACCAGCACAUGCUGGAGCCACCAAAGAUUUAUUGCCAUGGGAUGGACCCGCGGCCCAUUAGCUAGUUGGUGAGGUAACGGCUCACCAAGGCGACGAUGGGUAGCCGGACUGAGAGGUCGAACGGCCACAUUGGAACUGAGACACGGUCCAG
RNAcentral lists this ribosomal RNA (220 nucleotides) under uncultured bacterium. RNAcentral's name for it is "partial 16S ribosomal RNA". It matches the Rfam family "Bacterial small subunit ribosomal RNA", at positions 116 to 334 of the family's 1533-position model. The record is from RNAcentral.